UACGAAGGGUGCAAGCGUUACUCGGAAUUACUGGGCGUAAAGCGUGCGUAGGUGGUUUGUUAAGUCUGAUGUGAAAGCCCUGGGCUCAACCUGGGAACGGCAUUGGAAACUGGCUUACUAGAGUGCGGUAGAGGGGUGUGGAAUUCCCGGUGUAGCAGUGAAAUGCGUAGAGAUCGGGAGGAACACCUGUGGCGAAGGCGGCUUCCUGGCCUGUUCUUGACGCUGAGGCGCGAAAGCUAGGGGAGCAAACGGG
Molecule: ribosomal RNA, 253 nt
Filed under: uncultured bacterium
Lineage: Bacteria
Description: partial 16S ribosomal RNA
Rfam family: Bacterial small subunit ribosomal RNA
Source: RNAcentral